AACGAACGCUGGCGGCAGGCCUAACACAUGCAAGUCGAGCGCUCACCUUCGGGUGGGAGCGGCGCACGGGUGAGUAACACGUGGGAACCUACCUUGAAGUACGGAAUAACUGAGGGAAACUUCAGCUAAUACCGUAUACGCCCUACGGGGGAAAGAUUUAUCGCUUCAAGACGGGCUCGCGUUGGAUUAGCCAGUUGGUGAGGUAAUGGCUCACCAAGGCAACGAUCCAUAGCUGAUUUGAGAGAAUGAUCAGCCACACUGGGACUGAGACAUGGCCCAGACUCCUACGGGAGGCAGCAGUGGGGAAUGUUGGACAAUGGGCGCAAGCCUGAUCCAGCCAUGCCGCGCGAGUGAUGAAGGCCUUCGGGUUGUAAAGCUCUUUCAGAUGGGACGAUGAUGACGGUACCAUCAGAAGAAGCCCCGGCUAACUUCGUGCCAGCAGCCGCCGCGG
This 451-nucleotide ribosomal RNA is filed under the name uncultured bacterium. Its description in RNAcentral is "partial 16S ribosomal RNA". It matches the Rfam family "Bacterial small subunit ribosomal RNA", at positions 29 to 523 of the family's 1533-position model. The record is from RNAcentral.